ACUAAUAUGGCAGAAAAGUGCAAUGAUCUUAAGAAUCAUAAAUAAAUAACAUUUUAUUAGAU
Molecule: transfer RNA, 62 nt
Filed under: Nocticola sp. JW1 9/1
Lineage: Eukaryota; Metazoa; Arthropoda; Insecta; Blattodea; Nocticolidae
Description: tRNA-Leu
Source: RNAcentral